GCGGCGUAAAUGGGGAUAAAACUAAACAGCGAAAUCAAAGGGAAUUAUUUGUUGGGGGGAUUCGAUAUGAAUACACAAUUUCCUCCAUAUUCGUACAAUUUUCACCACUCGAACACCUUGUAAAGGCCUUGUUCUUGGAACUUUAUAAAGAUAGACUCUUUUUCUUUUUCAAAUAAAUCUCGGAAUGAGCUGAGAGGACAUGUCACCAUAGCCAGAUCGGGAAUUAUUAAUGCUCAGAGAAAAUCCGUUGAUAUGACCGAAUCCGAUAGAUCAGUUCGGAUGAUCUAUUCGAUAAGAACACGAUAAAAUGGGAUUAUCCAUGUAAAUUAAUAAUAGUAAAUGAAAUCAACAUUUCUACAACAAAGGGGUGGGUUCUAUAAUCUAAACCAGUUACAAUUCCCUGAAGAGACUCAUCGCUCUCUUCGCUGUGAAACCCUGUUUCUGAGGUCGAACCAGGCGGGACAGCAAGAUCGGAGCAACCACGCGCCUCCCAUAGCUCUCCACGUGACGGGGAAAAGGAAGAUGCUAGAUGGGGAAGGAAACCUUCUCGAAGAGCCCUCGGCUUUCCAUCAUGUUCCUAACCACUUUGCUUGACCAGCGAGGUAAACAAGAGGAGACUAUGAGAUGAGUGGUAGUGGGUGGGGGGGAGCCAGAGAUCAACAAGGCUGAGUUGGGAACGUAAGGAAUCGAAUCCGGACGCCAACUCACGGUGGGCCCACCCGUCCUUCUGUGGGGUCAGCCUCUCGUACGUGCGCACGUGCGAGGUCCUCCGAGGAGAGAGACUCUGAUAUCGGAGAAGUAUGGACACAGGGAAGAGAGGCCCCCCCGCUCAGACGAAGAGGAAGAAUGUGAUCAAGGCGUGAAGGAAUCAUCUGCAUUCAGAUCAUGAUUUCAGAUUUCACACCGAGGAGAGCGGAUGACUGUGAGGGAAUCGGAACCGUUUCCAAGCUUAACUCAUGUAAUAGUAAACAUACAAUCGGCAUUCAACAGCAGUGAUCAAACAAAUAGACAUUCUACUGUGUGUGAGGAGGAAAGGGGGUGGAUGAUUUGGGGAGAGGGGGGGCGAUUAUUGUCAUGAGGAUAUAGAAGACGGCACGGAGAGGGGAUCAAGUGUCGUGUCGGAAUGGAUUUUGGCGGAGUAGAUGGGAGAGAAGGGGAUCAUCUAGGAGCGGCACCGGGUAAUGGCGCUGCAGCCGCGCCUGUAGGGGUUGGCCUGGGCCCCUGGGCGGCAGUUGUAGUAGGAGGCGCCGCGGCGGGAGCAAGGGACCGAGCCUCGUCGGAGAGCGGCGUAGCUGAUGUACCCAGAAGCGGCCAGGAUGCGGCGAUUGCUCUCUGAGUCGAGGGAGAACUCGUCCUCGUCCUCGGCCAGGCACUCCGCCACCGUUCCCGUGCACCUCGACCUCGCGGAGACCCACCCCGCCAGCUGCCCCUCCAGACCGAGACCGAGCUGAUACUUCCCCCCAGCGCAGGCCACGGACAUUGCCGCUAGCAGGACCGAGGCCGCCAGCACCACCCGCAGGAGAAAGCCAACGCCGCUUCCCAUUUCUCGUUGCCGCUGCUUCUCCACGGCCGCUGCUCCCCUCCCGAUCCUUCCUCCUCUCUCUCUCUCUCUCUCUCUCUCUCAACCUCUAUCUCCUUCCUCGACUCCUCUUUAGCGUGUGAAAAUGGAGUGGAAACAGUGGGGGUAGGGACCGCCUCGGCGUGUAGGACCAGAACUCCGAUGCCUGGAAGAAAUGCCCUCCCUGUCUGAGGUUAAUCACGAGGACUGACACUGGACUCCGAGUUUCUCUCUCGUCAUUAAAUUAACCUACAUUCGUCUUCUGCAGAUCUGCCAACCUCAUUUUCUACUCCAUCCCAGAAGCAGGAAACUGACCUUUUCUCCGAGAGACACCGCAGAUCGCCGCCAGAUCUCGCCGCCCCCUCCGCC
Molecule: long non-coding RNA, 1927 nt
Filed under: Spirodela polyrhiza (greater duckweed)
Lineage: Eukaryota; Viridiplantae; Streptophyta; Magnoliopsida; Alismatales; Araceae
Description: long non-coding RNA (SPOL_LNC002362)
Source: RNAcentral